AAAAGUUCGUUUGAGUUUUUCU
Molecule: microRNA, 22 nt
Filed under: Bos taurus (domestic cattle)
Lineage: Eukaryota; Metazoa; Chordata; Mammalia; Artiodactyla; Bovidae
Description: bta-miR-2285bk
Source: miRBase by way of RNAcentral